GGCGGUAUAGCUCAACCGUAAAGUGAGUGCUUAGCAUGCACGAGGUCCUGGGUUCAAUCUCCAGUACUGCCA
RNAcentral lists this transfer RNA (72 nucleotides) under Camelus bactrianus (Bactrian camel). It matches the Rfam family "tRNA". From Rfam's summary of the family: Transfer RNA (tRNA) molecules are approximately 80 nucleotides in length. Their secondary structure includes four short double-helical elements and three loops (D, anti-codon, and T loops). Further hydrogen bonds mediate the characteristic L-shaped molecular structure. tRNAs have two regions of fundamental functional importance: the anti-codon, which is responsible for specific mRNA codon recognition, and the 3' end, to which the tRNAs corresponding amino acid is attached (by aminoacyl-tRNA synthetases). tRNAs cope with the degeneracy of the genetic code in two manners: having more than one tRNA (with a specific anti-codon) for a particular amino acid; and 'wobble' base-pairing, i.e. permitting non-standard base-pairing at the 3rd anti-codon position. The record is from Rfam by way of RNAcentral. Lineage: Eukaryota; Metazoa; Chordata; Mammalia; Artiodactyla; Camelidae. RNAcentral also lists the same sequence under 2 other names.